GACGAACGCUGGCGGCGUGCUUAACACAUGCAAGUCGAACGGAAAGGCCCUGCUUUUGUGGGGUGCUCGAGUGGCGAACGGGUGAGUAACACGUGAGUAACCUGCCCUUGACUUUGGGAUAACUUCAGGAAACUGGGGCUAAUACCGGAUAGGAGCUCCUGCUGCAUGGUGGGGGUUGGAAAGUUUCGGCGGUUGGGGAUGGACUCGCGGCUUAUCAGCUUGUUGGUGGGGUAGUGGCUUACCAAGGCUUUGACGGGUAGCCGGCCUGAGAGGGGGACCAGCCUCAAUGGGACUGAGGUACGGCCCAGACGCCUACGGGAGGCAGCAGGGGGGAAUAUUGCGGAAUGGGCGGAAGCCUGAUGCAGCAACGCCGCGUGCGGGAUGACGGCCUUCGGGGUGUAAACCGCUGUCGCCUGUGACGAAGCGUGAGUGACGGUAAUGGGUAAAGAAGCAACGGCUAACUACGUG
This 468-nucleotide ribosomal RNA is filed under the name uncultured bacterium. RNAcentral's name for it is "partial 16S ribosomal RNA". It matches the Rfam family "Bacterial small subunit ribosomal RNA", at positions 28 to 507 of the family's 1533-position model. The record is from RNAcentral.